UAAAAAGUAAGCUAAAGAUUAAGCUUUUGGGUUCAUACCCCAACUAUAGAAUUAUUCUCUUUUUAA
This 66-nucleotide transfer RNA is filed under the name Stenopsocus aphidiformis. Its description in RNAcentral is "tRNA-Met". The record is from RNAcentral. Lineage: Eukaryota; Metazoa; Arthropoda; Insecta; Psocodea; Stenopsocidae. RNAcentral also lists the same sequence under 3 other names.